GACAGAGGUCCCAAGCGUUGUUCGGAUUCAUUGGGCGUAAAGGGUGCGUAGGUGGCGCCGUAAGUCAGGUGUGAAAUCUCGGGGCUUAACUCCGAAACUGCAUUUGAUACUGCGGUGCUUGAGGACUGGAGAGGAGACUGGAAUUUACGGUGUAGCAGUGAAAUGCGUAGAGAUCGUAAGGAAGACCAGUGGCGAAGGCGGGUCUCUGGACAGUUCCUGACACUGAGGCACGAGGGCCAGGGGAGCAAACGGG
RNAcentral lists this ribosomal RNA (253 nucleotides) under uncultured bacterium. RNAcentral describes it as "partial 16S ribosomal RNA". It matches the Rfam family "Bacterial small subunit ribosomal RNA", at positions 524 to 776 of the family's 1533-position model. The record is from RNAcentral.